UGCAACUGUUUAAAAUUCAAAUGGUCACUUAUUUCAGCUUACAAAGCUUGUAAAAUCAUGCAUUUUAAAUUUGUAGGGAUCAAUACAUAUAUAUAUAUAUAGUUGGAAUAACAUAACAUAACAUCAAAGAUGAAAAUGAUUUCAAUUUACUGAAUUGUAUAUAUAUUGUAUGUUCUUGAAAAUACAAAAUUAAGAGCUUUGGCAAAAUUUGACUAACAACAUCACAUGAUAAAUAACAUUAUUUUUAUACAUGUUGUAAAAAGGUAUGACCAGUGCAAAUUGAAUGCAAGGUUUAAUUAUUGGAAUAUUUAUCCUGUGAAAUUUUACAUAUUGAAAACAAAGCAUUCCAUUACAGAAUUUAUUGCAUUUGUUUUAUCAGAUGUUUUUAUAGUUUUCUUAUUAUAUGUACUAAAAACUGUUUAUACUAAUGUAAACUAAAUGUUGAUCUUUAACUAUGUCAGCAACAUAAGUAUGAAUAAAAUUACAAUUUUGUAUUGCCAACUAUUCAGUCCAAUAAUCAGAGACUUUAACUC
Molecule: long non-coding RNA, 533 nt
Filed under: Mytilus galloprovincialis (Mediterranean mussel)
Lineage: Eukaryota; Metazoa; Mollusca; Bivalvia; Mytilida; Mytilidae
Source: RNAcentral